CACCAGCCCCUCGAGUGGUGGGGAUGAUUAUUUGGCCUAAAGCGUCCGUAGCCGGCCGGGUAAGUUUCCCGUUAAAUCCAGCGUCUCAAGCGUUGGACUGCGGGAAAUACUGCCUGGCUAGAGAGUGGGAGAGGUGUACGGUAUUCUGGGGGUAGGGGCGAAAUCCUUUGAUCCCCGGAGGACCACCAGUGGCGAAGGCUGUACACUAGAGCACGUCUGACGGUCAGGGACGAAAGCUGGGGUAGCGAACCGGAUUAGAUACCCGGGUAGCCCCAGCCGUAAACGAUGCAUGCUAGGUGUUGGGUUGGCCACGAGCCACCCCAGUGUCGCAGGGAAGCCGUUAAGCAUGCCGCCUGGGAAGUACGAUCGCAAGAUUGAAACUUAAAGGAAUUGGCGGGGGAGCACCACCAGGCGUGAAGCCUGCGGUUU
RNAcentral lists this ribosomal RNA (429 nucleotides) under uncultured archaeon. Its description in RNAcentral is "bacterial SSU rRNA". It matches the Rfam family "Archaeal small subunit ribosomal RNA", at positions 474 to 903 of the family's 1478-position model. The record is from RNAcentral.